CCUACGGGUGGCAGCAGUGAGGAAUAUUGGUCAAUGGGCGCGAGCCUGAACCAGCCAAGUAGCGUGAAGGAUGACUGCCCUACGGGUUGUAAACUUCUUUUAUAAAGGAAUAAAGUGAGGCACGUGUGCCUUUUUGUAUGUAUUUUAUGAAUAAGGAUCGGCUAACUCCGUGCCAGCAGCCGCGGUAAUACGGAGGAUCCGAGCGUUAUCCGGAUUUAUUGGGUUUAAAGGGAGCGUAGAUGGGUUGUUAAGUCAGUUGUGAAAGUUUGCGGCUCAACCGUAAAAUUGCAAUUGAUACUGGCAGCCUUGAGUACAGUUGAGGUAGGCGGAAUUCGUGGUGUAGCGGUGAAAUGCUUAGAUAUCACGAAGAACUCCGAUUGCGAAGGCGGCCACCUGGACCGGUAUUGACGCUGAGGCGCGAAAGCGUGGGGAGCAAACAGGAUUAGAUACCCUAGUAGUC
Molecule: ribosomal RNA, 460 nt
Filed under: uncultured bacterium
Lineage: Bacteria
Description: partial 16S ribosomal RNA
Rfam family: Bacterial small subunit ribosomal RNA
Source: RNAcentral